CGGAGGGUGCAAGCGUUAUCCGGAUUCACUGGGUUUAAAGGGAGCGCAGGCGGACCUGUAAGUCAGUGGUGAAAUACCUGAGCUUAACUCGGGAACUGCCAUUGAUACUAUCGGUCUUGAAUGUUGUUGAGGUUUGCGGAAUGGGUCAUGUAGCGGUGAAAUGCAUAGAUAUGACCCGGAACACCUAUUGCGAAGGCAGCAGGCUAAACAAAUAUUGACGCUGAGGCUCGAGAGCGUGGGGAUCAAACAGGAUUAGAUACCCUGGUAGUCCACGCCCUAAACGAUGAUUACUCGACAUACGCGAUACACUGUGUGUGUCUGAGCGAAAGCAUUAAGUAAUCCACCUGGGAAGUACGACCGCAAGGUUG
This 368-nucleotide ribosomal RNA is filed under the name uncultured organism. RNAcentral's name for it is "bacterial SSU rRNA". It matches the Rfam family "Bacterial small subunit ribosomal RNA", at positions 526 to 896 of the family's 1533-position model. The record is from RNAcentral.